This 1006-nucleotide small RNA is filed under the name Rattus norvegicus (Norway rat). Its description in RNAcentral is "uncharacterized LOC102552388". The record is from RNAcentral. Lineage: Eukaryota; Metazoa; Chordata; Mammalia; Rodentia; Muridae.
CUGUAAGUGAGACUCCAUUUCCAAAAGAAGGAAGAGGAGCGAGAGAAGCGGGAUGAGAUGGAAAGUCGCAGCAGCGGGAAAGAAGGGGAAAGGGGUUUAAAAUGGCCGAGGAGAUGCAGUUGGUUUUUUGUUUGUUUGUUUGGUUGGUUGGUUGUUUUUCUCAAAAUGGAUGUGUGAAUGGCCCAAGCCCAUGACGGGAUAGAUGUUCAGCAUACUGGGAGAGAAAAAUCAAAGUCACGACGAGAUAUGCAUUCUUCACUCAUAUCCCACAGGAAGGCUGGACUGAAGCAAAUGUUAAAGAGGAUGGGAGACCCCGAGUCGCUCCACACCCCUGCUGCUGGUGAUGGAGGCUCAACCAGCCAGGUCUCCUCCAAGUGUCGCCAUGGGACCCGAGGCCACAGAGCAUCGGGGGAGAGUGAAGCACAACGGUCUCGUCAGAGGUGCCAGCCUCUUUAAUGAAGAUGUCUUUUCCUGCUAUAGUUUGGACACAAGCACACAAGUUCACUACGGUGCUGUGAGCAGAACCCAGGGCUUCAUGUCUACUAGGUCUGGCAACCGCAGCUGCUGUGAGUUCCUCAAUGCAGCCUCCCCAUCAUGUUCAGAAGACAGUUUCUCCUCAGUCUCCUAACAUCUGGCUCUUACAAUCUGUCCCCCCCUCUUCUGAGACGAUCCCCGAGCCUUGGGGAGGGUGUGUGAUGGCUACAGCUUUAUGAAUAUAUGGGGACCAAGAGGGCAGCUCCACUGGUGAAGUGGUGAGAGCUGGGCGUGGUUUCAUGCACUUGCCAUUCAGUGCUAGGGAGGCAGAGGUGUGGUAUCCCUGAGGCUCACUCUUCCCCACUAUGUUCUGCCUCUCCACAGGCAUAAAAGCAGUGGAGCCAAUGGGGGACUAUCUAGAUGGAUAGAUCCUGAGAAAUAACCAUGGUUGUUCUCUGGCUGUCACCCUCUUGAACACACACACACACACACGUAUGCACACACACAUGCACAAAUACACAUAGACACAUGC